Molecule: ribosomal RNA, 198 nt
Filed under: uncultured bacterium
Lineage: Bacteria
Description: partial 16S ribosomal RNA
Rfam family: Bacterial small subunit ribosomal RNA
Source: RNAcentral
ACGCUCGACACCUACUGGAGGCAGCAGUGGGGAAUAUUGCGCAAUGGGGGCAACCCUGACGCAGCAACGCCGCGUGAGCGAUGAAGGUUUUCGGAUCGUAAAGCUCUGUUCUGAGGGAAGAUAGUGACGGUACCUCAGGAGAAAGCCCCGGCUAACUACGUGCCAGCAGCCGCGGUAAUCUGAGCGGGCUGGCAAGGC